CAGCAGAAUACGUGAAGAAUGCUUUGACUCCUUGCUAAGAAAACAAACUGAGUACAGAAUGGUCAGAAUAUUUGAAGGGACGUCACCAAAGAAGACAUAGAGCAGGAAGUAAGCCCACGUAAAGAUGCGCACAGCCACGCAUUAUGAUAUUAAUUCAAACCACAGCAAGGUACCACUAUGCCCAUGAGGUUAUAUUGGACUGAAAAGACCAAGAAUACCAGUAAAGGUGAGGAGCCAUUGAACUCUCACGCACAGCAGGUGAGACUGCAAAAUGGUAUAGUCUCUCUGGAAAACAUUUCUUUCAUAAAGUUAAGCAUACAGUGAACUUGAAACCCAGUAAUUCCACUUCUAGUAUUUACUCAAGAGAAUAAAAACAUAUGUCUAUAUACAGACCUGUAGGUGAAUGUCCAUAGCACCUUCAUUGAUAAUAACCCCAAACUGGAAAGAACCCAAAUCACCAUCAGUUGGUGAAUGGUAUAAAAAAAAUGGGGUAUGUCCAUACAAUGGAAUACUACUGAGCAGUGAAAAGGAAUGAACUAAUUCAUGCAAUGACAUGAAUACAUCACAAAAGAAGUUUGUUAACUGAAAGAAGCAAGGCUCUUUGCAUGUCUGUUUACAUGACAUUCUAGAAGCAAAAUUAUCUGGAUAGAAAGCAGAUCUGUGGUUGCCUGGAACCAUGGGGUAGAGGGAGGAGAGUGACUGCACAGGGCCUGGAAGAGUCCUAUGGGGCAAUGGAAAUGUUCUCUAGCAUGACAGCAAUGCUGGUCACUGUCAUGACUCAUCAAAUUGUAUGUCUGAAAGUGGCAACAUUUGGUGUUACAGUUUAGGUAUUGAAUGUCCCCCCAAAGAUUGUUCCCCAGGGUGGUGUUAUUGAGAGGUGUGGGACAUUUGAGAGGUGGGGUCUGGUGAGAGGUUCUCAGGUCACUGGGGAAGGUACCCUUUAAGGGAAUCAUGGAACCCCACUCUCUCAGUCUCUCUGUACUAUCUGGCUAAUGAUGUAAGUGCUUGCUCUGCCACAUGCUCAUGCUAUAGUGUGCCUGCCACCCUCAUCACAGGCCCAAGGCAAUGAGGUUGCUCCAUUUUGGACUGGAACUUCCAGAAUCAUGAGCCCCACAAAUAACCCUUUUUGCUUUAUAAGUGGCUUACCUCAGGUAUUUUGUUAUCAUGAUGUGAAGCUGGCUAAUACAUGCUGCAUGCAAAAUAUACUUCAAUAAAAC
Molecule: long non-coding RNA, 1217 nt
Filed under: Marmota monax (woodchuck)
Lineage: Eukaryota; Metazoa; Chordata; Mammalia; Rodentia; Sciuridae
Source: RNAcentral